Molecule: ribosomal RNA, 389 nt
Filed under: uncultured bacterium
Lineage: Bacteria
Description: bacterial SSU rRNA
Rfam family: Bacterial small subunit ribosomal RNA
Source: RNAcentral
AGUGAACGCUGGCGGCAGGCCUAACACAUGCAAGUCGAGCGGCAGCGCGUCCGACCACCCUCGGGUGGUCGGAUGGCGGCGAGCGGCGGACGGGUGAGGAAUGCAUCGGAAUCUGCCUCGUUGUGGGGGAUAACGUAGGGAAACUUACGCUAAUACCGCAUAAGCCCUGAGGGGGGAAAGUGGGGGACCGCAAGGCCUCACGCGAAUGGAGCGGCCGGUGUCAGAUUAGCUAGUUGGUGGGGUAAAGGCCCACCAAGGCGACGAUCUGUAGCGGGUCUGAGAGGAUGAUCCGCCACACUGGGACUGAGACACGGCCCAGACUCCUACGGGAGGCAGCAGUGGGGAAUUUUGGACAAUGGGCGCAAGCCUGAUCCAGCCAUGCCGCGUGC